UGCCAGACCUUAAACUUUACUAUGAAUCAGCAGCUUUUUGCUGGUUGAAAGAAUGGCUACUUCUUGAAAACACUGACAUUUUGGACUUAGAAGGUUUUAACAAUGUAUUUGGAUGGCAUGCAUAUCUAUGGUACGAUAAGGUCAAAGCACAUAAAGCAUUUAAAAACCAUAUUGUCAGGAAAGCGCUGUUUAAUGUUUGGAUAAGAUAUAAGGAUUUGUUAGAAAACAAAACCCCAAGGUGGCUGUCACCAAUGGAAGCGAAAGCCUUGAAAAAGCUCAAUAUGGAGGUCAAUUGGCCGAAAUAUUGGGAAAUUUUGGAACAAGAUGGAGAUAGACUGAAAUUGCAGAGCUUUGAAAAACUGAAAAACAAAGUGCGAGACUGGCUUCAUUAUUUUCAGAUAAUGGAGGCAUUUAAAUUGGACAAGAAAAUUGGCUUCCAGGUGGAAAGAUCAAAAUUAGAAACUGAACUGUUAGAACCCAAAACCAAGAAUUUGUCAAGAAUGUAUAACUUGCUGCUGAAAUGGAACACUCAGGAUGAAACGGUAAAAUCGGCUAUGAUUAAAUGGGCACAAGACGUUGGACAUAACAUUAUGUUUGUUGACUGGGAACAGUUGUGGACCACAGGUAUGAAAUUUACGGCAUGUAAUGCCUUAAGAGAGAAUAUUAUGAAAAUGAUAUACAGGUGGUACAUAACCCCAGUCAAGCUUGCAAAAAUCUAUCACUUGCCCGAUAAUAAAUGUUGGAAAUGUAAAGAAAUUGAAGGUACAUUUUUUUCGCCUUUGGUGGACGUGCCCAAAGAUUAAGGCUUUCUGGGAAAUGAUAUAUAAUGAAUUAAAAGGUAUUCAAAUAUACCUUCCCCAAGAAACCAGAGGCCUUUCUCUUGGGCAUGGUCGGCCAAAUGGUGAUAAAAAAGGAUAGAACUUUCUUUAUGUAUGCAACAACAGCAGCAAGAAUACUCAUUGCAAAGUAUUGGAAGACACAAGAACUUCCCACGCUGGAGGAAUGGCAGAUGAAACUGAUGGACUAUAUGGAACUGGCGGAAAUGACUGGUAGAAUCCGUGACCAGGGAGAAGAGUCGGUGGAGGAAGAUUGGAAGAAAUUCAAAGAUUAUUUACAGAAACACUGCAAAAUUAAAGAAUGCUAGAGUGAUGUUGGAUUGAAAAUAAGUGGUUUCCAGCUGUACAGGAUUUAAAGUUAUAGAUAGACUAAGAUUAAAGAUUAGGAUUAAAGAAGUUUAAGGAAAUGGAAAUUUGGUAUUUAAGAGGUAAAAUUUUAAUGCUAUAUUAUAUUAAGAUUAAAGAUGGGGAUUAAAAAAAGUGGGAAAGAAAUUGCUGGACAAACAAUUUGAACUGGAAUACAAAAGAGGGAGGUAUGAGGAGGUCCAGAAAAUAAGUAAAUUUAAAAAUGGAAAUGAAAAGGUGAUAUUGUUUUUAAAUGUUCUGUUUCUUUUCUUUUUCUUUUUUUCUUUUUUGUUUUCUGUGCUUGUUUCUUUUUUGGAUUAUGUAUUGUGUAUUGUGUAUUUGUGUAUUUCUUUUUUAUGUUUUUUCUGUUUAACUUUUUACUGAAACCUU
This 1571-nucleotide long non-coding RNA is filed under the name Podarcis lilfordi (Lilford's wall lizard). The record is from RNAcentral. Lineage: Eukaryota; Metazoa; Chordata; Lepidosauria; Squamata; Lacertidae.